ACAGGUGAGGGGAACCAGCAGUGACAGACACGCGCUUGAGACGGGAAUGGCUUCAGCCUCAUCCAUCGUUCACACUGGCUUGAUUUCUGGGCUUUGAGCAAAUUCCAGAAGGUGAGCCACAGGCAGCAGCCCACGCUUGCAGAGCUCUUUGCUCAUCACUUUGCACUUGAUGUGACUUCCGCCUCGACACCUGUAAGGACACCUUAGGGAAACUGACUGCCUUCCUGUUCUCAUCUCUUUGGUCCUGGAUCAUCAUCCCAGAGUAAGGAUAGCGCCUCCAGUGGAACUGAGUUAGGCUUUUGAGCAUGAACAGGAGGUCGAUAGCCAUUUGUCCCAGCCUGAAACAAAGAUCCACGAGCCGAGGGUCACAUGCCUAACCAGUGGAGAAAUGCACCUAACCAGUGGAGAAAUGCACCCAAGAACACCUUUCCUGGGUUGGUGAAGGAGCAGAUCUGAAUGUUGAAAGGAUGGACCCAGACUUUCAGAAGACCUGCCUCGAGUUUUGCCAGCUGGCUCAAAGUCAUUGUCUGCAGGGAGCAGGACCCUAAGAUCAUAGGUCUUCAGAUUAUGAGGAACUGUACUCAGGAGCUGUACUAUAGGACACCCAAGGCAUCUCCUCCACACUUGUACCUGAUUUAAUAACAAGAUACUGGACUUCAAGUUGAUGCUAUAAAAGAAUAAGACU
This is a non-coding RNA of Sus scrofa (pig), 685 nucleotides long. The record is from RefSeq and is a predicted model, not a curated record. Lineage: Eukaryota; Metazoa; Chordata; Mammalia; Artiodactyla; Suidae.